RNAcentral lists this ribosomal RNA (455 nucleotides) under uncultured organism. RNAcentral's name for it is "bacterial SSU rRNA". It matches the Rfam family "Bacterial small subunit ribosomal RNA", at positions 346 to 794 of the family's 1533-position model. The record is from RNAcentral.
GCGCAGCAGUCGCGAAUUUUUCUCAAUGGGGGCAACCCUGAAGGAGCGACGCCGCGUGGAGGAUGAAGGCUUUCGGGUUGUAAACUCCUGUCAUUUGAGAACAAGUGUAGCCAAGUAACUACUGGCUACUUGAUAGUAUCAGAAGAGGAAGGGACGGCUAACUCUGUGCCAGCAGCCGCGGUAAUACAGAGGUCCCAAGCGUUGUUCGGAUUCAUUGGGCGUAAAGGGUGCGUAGGUGGCGUGGUAAGUCGGGUGUGAAAUUUCGGAGCUUAACUUCGAAACUGCGUUCGAUACUGCCGUGCUUGAGGACUGGAGAGGAGACUGGAAUUUACGGUGUAGCAGUGAAAUGCGUAGAGAUCGUAAGGAAGACCAGUGGCGAAGGCGGGUCUCUGGACAGUUCCUGACACUGAGGCACGAAGGCUAGGGGAGCAAACGGGAUUAGAUACCCCGGUAGU